GAAAACUCAUUUUGUUGGCAAAUACCGUAUAAUCUCAUCCAAAAAUCAAAUCCAACAAAAAUUAUUAAUUAUUUAUUGAGUGAGAGACAAUCAACGUUCCAGCUAAGUGGAUCUAUCGACCAAUGGGUUAAGUUAAAUGUUGGCAAUAGCGGGUUUUACAGAGUAAAAUAUGUUGGUUCUCUGAAAGAUAUGCUUAUUGACGGAGUGCAAGAUGUAAAGUCCGACGGUACAAGUGUUUUAAACAUUCGCGACAAAGUCGGACUGUUGAAUGAUUUUCUUUCCCUCGCGUCUAUUGGAGAGAUGACGUUUGUCGACUGUUUAAGAUUGUCUUGGAAUCUUCGAAAUGAGGUGAACUAUGCGAUUUGGGAUUCUAUUUUCAAUUUAUUCUCUGCUAUCGACAAUAUUUUUGUCUCAACUGAUUCAUAUCCCGCUUUUGUACAGUUGGUUAACCGAUUUGUGAGUAUUCCGUAUGAGAAAGUUGGUUGGACUGUUGUUGAAG
This is a long non-coding RNA of Octopus sinensis (East Asian common octopus), 499 nucleotides long. RefSeq lists it as uncharacterized. NCBI's taxonomy places the organism in Eukaryota, Metazoa, Mollusca, Cephalopoda, Octopoda, Octopodidae. The record is from RefSeq and is a predicted model, not a curated record. The transcript is spliced from 3 exons.